AACUCUUGGCCUUUUGACUAAGAUCAAGUGUAGUAAUUGUUCUUAUCAGCUUAAUAUCUCCUCUAUAGAAAUUCCAGGAAGAAAUCACAGCUACACAACUCCU
RNAcentral lists this small nuclear RNA (103 nucleotides) under Suricata suricatta (meerkat). Its description in RNAcentral is "U2 spliceosomal RNA (ENSSSUG00005022444.1)". It matches the Rfam family "U2 spliceosomal RNA". From Rfam's summary of the family: U2 is a small nuclear RNA (snRNA) component of the spliceosome (involved in pre-mRNA splicing). Lineage: Eukaryota; Metazoa; Chordata; Mammalia; Carnivora; Herpestidae. The record is from RNAcentral.